This 2907-nucleotide ribosomal RNA is filed under the name Escherichia coli. RNAcentral describes it as "23S ribosomal RNA". It matches the Rfam family "Bacterial large subunit ribosomal RNA". Lineage: Bacteria; Pseudomonadati; Pseudomonadota; Gammaproteobacteria; Enterobacterales; Enterobacteriaceae. The record is from RNAcentral.
GGUUAAGCGACUAAGCGUACACGGUGGAUGCCCUGGCAGUCAGAGGCGAUGAAGGACGUGCUAAUCUGCGAUAAGCGUCGGUAAGGUGAUAUGAACCGUUAUAACCGGCGAUUUCCGAAUGGGGAAACCCAGUGUGUUUCGACACACUAUCAUUAACUGAAUCCAUAGGUUAAUGAGGCGAACCGGGGGAACUGAAACAUCUAAGUACCCCGAGGAAAAGAAAUCAACCGAGAUUCCCCCAGUAGCGGCGAGCGAACGGGGAGCAGCCCAGAGCCUGAAUCAGUGUGUGUGUUAGUGGAAGCGUCUGGAAAGGCGCGCGAUACAGGGUGACAGCCCCGUACACAAAAAUGCACAUGCUGUGAGCUCGAUGAGUAGGGCGGGACACGUGGUAUCCUGUCUGAAUAUGGGGGGACCAUCCUCCAAGGCUAAAUACUCCUGACUGACCGAUAGUGAACCAGUACCGUGAGGGAAAGGCGAAAAGAACCCCGGCGAGGGGAGUGAAAAAGAACCUGAAACCGUGUACGUACAAGCAGUGGGAGCACAGAGCAAUCUGUGUGACUGCGUACCUUUUGUAUAAUGGGUCAGCGACUUAUAUUCUGUAGCAAGGUUAACCGAAUAGGGGAGCCGAAGGGAAACCGAGUCUUAACUGGGCGUUAAGUUGCAGGGUAUAGACCCGAAACCCGGUGAUCUAGCCAUGGGCAGGUUGAAGGUUGGGUAACACUAACUGGAGGACCGAACCGACUAAUGUUGAAAAAUUAGCGGAUGACUUGUGGCUGGGGGUGAAAGGCCAAUCAAACCGGGAGAUAGCUGGUUCUCCCCGAAAGCUAUUUAGGUAGCGCCUCGUGAAUUCAUCUCCGGGGGUAGAGCACUGUUUCGGCAAGGGGGUCAUCCCGACUUACCAACCCGAUGCAAACUGCGAAUACCGGAGAAUGUUAUCACGGGAGACACACGGCGGGUGCUAACGUCCGUCGUGAAGAGGGAAACAACCCAGACCGCCAGCUAAGGUCCCAAAGUCAUGGUUAAGUGGGAAACGAUGUGGGAAGGCCCAGACAGCCAGGAUGUUGGCUUAGAAGCAGCCAUCAUUUAAAGAAAGCGUAAUAGCUCACUGGUCGAGUCGGCCUGCGCGGAAGAUGUAACGGGGCUAAACCAUGCACCGAAGCUGCGGCAGCGACGCUUAUGCGUUGUUGGGUAGGGGAGCGUUCUGUAAGCCUGUGAAGGUGUGCUGUGAGGCAUGCUGGAGGUAUCAGAAGUGCGAAUGCUGACAUAAGUAACGAUAAAGCGGGUGAAAAGCCCGCUCGCCGGAAGACCAAGGGUUCCUGUCCAACGUUAAUCGGGGCAGGGUGAGUCGACCCCUAAGGCGAGGCCGAAAGGCGUAGUCGAUGGGAAACAGGUUAAUAUUCCUGUACUUGGUGUUACUGCGAAGGGGGGACGGAGAAGGCUAUGUUGGCCGGGCGACGGUUGUCCCGGUUUAAGCGUGUAGGCUGGUUUUCCAGGCAAAUCCGGAAAAUCAAGGCUGAGGCGUGAUGACGAGGCACUACGGUGCUGAAGCAACAAAUGCCCUGCUUCCAGGAAAAGCCUCUAAGCAUCAGGUAACAUCAAAUCGUACCCCAAACCGACACAGGUGGUCAGGUAGAGAAUACCAAGGCGCUUGAGAGAACUCGGGUGAAGGAACUAGGCAAAAUGGUGCCGUAACUUCGGGAGAAGGCACGCUGAUAUGUAGGUGAGGUCCCUCGCGGAUGGAGCUGAAAUCAGUCGAAGAUACCAGCUGGCUGCAACUGUUUAUUAAAAACACAGCACUGUGCAAACACGAAAGUGGACGUAUACGGUGUGACGCCUGCCCGGUGCCGGAAGGUUAAUUGAUGGGGUUAGCGGUAACGCGAAGCUCUUGAUCGAAGCCCCGGUAAACGGCGGCCGUAACUAUAACGGUCCUAAGGUAGCGAAAUUCCUUGUCGGGUAAGUUCCGACCUGCACGAAUGGCGUAAUGAUGGCCAGGCUGUCUCCACCCGAGACUCAGUGAAAUUGAACUCGCUGUGAAGAUGCAGUGUACCCGCGGCAAGACGGAAAGACCCCGUGAACCUUUACUAUAGCUUGACACUGAACAUUGAGCCUUGAUGUGUAGGAUAGGUGGGAGGCUUUGAAGUGUGGACGCCAGUCUGCAUGGAGCCGGCCUUGAAAUACCACCCUUUAAUGUUUGAUGUUCUAACGUUGGCCCCUGAUCGGGGUUGCGGACAGUGUCUGGUGGGUAGUUUGACUGGGGCGGUCUCCUCCUAAAGAGUAACGGAGGAGCACGAAGGUUGGCUAAUCCUGGUCGGACAUCAGGAGGUUAGUGCAAUGGCAUAAGCCAGCUUGACUGCGAGCGUGACGGCGCGAGCAGGUGCGAAAGCAGGUCAUAGUGAUCCGGUGGUUCUGAAUGGAAGGGCCAUCGCUCAACGGAUAAAAGGUACUCCGGGGAUAACAGGCUGAUACCGCCCAAGAGUUCAUAUCGACGGCGGUGUUUGGCACCUCGAUGUCGGCUCAUCACAUCCUGGGGCUGAAGUAGGUCCCAAGGGUAUGGCUGUUCGCCAUUUAAAGUGGUACGCGAGCUGGGUUUAGAACGUCGUGAGACAGUUCGGUCCCUAUCUGCCGUGGGCGCUGGAGAACUGAGGGGGCUGCUCCUAGUACGAGAGGACCGGAGUGGACGCAUCACUGGUGUUCGGGUUGUCAUGCCAAUGGCACUGCCCGGUAGCUAAAUGCGGAAGAGAUAAGUGCUGAAAGCAUCUAAGCACGAAACUUGCCCCGAGAUGAGUUCUCCCUGACUCCUUGAGAGUCCUGAAGGAACGUUGAAGACGACGACGUUGAUAGGCCGGGUGUGUAAGCGCAGCGAUGCGUUGAGCUAACCGGUACUAAUGAACCGUGAGGCUUAACCUU